AAAUUGAAGAGUUUGAUCAUGGCUCAGAUUGAACGCUGGCGGCAGGCCUAACACAUGCAAGUCGAACGGUAACAGGAAGCAGCUUGCUGCUUUGCUGACGAGUGGCGGACGGGUGAGUAAUGUCUGGGAAACUCCCUGAUGGAGGGGGAUAACUACUGGAAACGGUGGCUAAUACCGCAUAACGUCGCAAGACCAAAGAGGGGGACCUUCGGGCCUCUUGCCAUCAGAUGUGCCCAGAUGGGAUUAGCUAGUUGGUGAGGUAACGGCU
RNAcentral lists this ribosomal RNA (268 nucleotides) under Salmonella enterica subsp. enterica. RNAcentral describes it as "partial 16S ribosomal RNA". It matches the Rfam family "Bacterial small subunit ribosomal RNA", at positions 1 to 265 of the family's 1533-position model. Lineage: Bacteria; Pseudomonadati; Pseudomonadota; Gammaproteobacteria; Enterobacterales; Enterobacteriaceae. The record is from RNAcentral.